CUCCCCAGUUGGAUUUCCUUCUAUAAACAUUGAUAUCAUUAUAAAUCGGAGCAAAAUUGCUAGUAGAAAAGUUGUUCACAGGAAAAAAGAAAGCCGUAAUAUAUUUUAGCUACAUUUCUUAAAUAUUCCCAUUUUUCCUCCGGUUUUUUUCAGUUUUUCACAUUUUUUGAAAAAAUUAUUGAGGAAUUAUAAUCUCCUUAACGUAUCUCCCCACACCAAAUUUUUUUCAGAAAAGAUGCUACACGUAAAAAUCGGAGCAAUCCCUCUGGUAGAAAAGUUGUCCACAGAAAAA
Molecule: non-coding RNA, 292 nt
Organism: Cinara cedri
Lineage: Eukaryota; Metazoa; Arthropoda; Insecta; Hemiptera; Aphididae
Source: the annotation of a GenBank genome assembly